This 429-nucleotide ribosomal RNA is filed under the name Gemmatimonadota bacterium. RNAcentral's name for it is "Gemmatimonadetes bacterium partial 16S ribosomal RNA". It matches the Rfam family "Bacterial small subunit ribosomal RNA", at positions 355 to 776 of the family's 1533-position model. The record is from RNAcentral. Lineage: Bacteria; Pseudomonadati; Gemmatimonadota.
UAGGGAAUCUUCGGCAAUGGACGCAAGUCUGACCGAGCAACGCCGCGUGAGUGAAGAAGGUUUUCGGAUCGUAAAACUCUGUUGUUAGAGAAGAACAAGGACGUUAGUAACUGAACGUCCCCUGACGGUAUCUAACCAGAAAGCCACGGCUAACUACGUGCCAGCAGCCGCGGUAAUACGUAGGUGGCAAGCGUUGUCCGGAUUUAUUGGGCGUAAAGCGAGCGCAGGCGGUUUCUUAAGUCUGGUGUGAAAGCCCCCGGCGCAACCGGGGAGGGUCAUUGGAAACUGGGAGACUAGAGUGCAGAAGAGGAGGGUGGAAUUCCAUGUGUAGCAGUGAAAUGCAUAGAUAUAUGGAGGAACACCAGUGGCGAAGGCGGCUCUCUGGUCUGUAACUGACGCUGAGGCUCGAAAGCGUGGGGAGCAAACAGG